RNAcentral lists this long non-coding RNA (5097 nucleotides) under Manduca sexta (tobacco hornworm). Its description in RNAcentral is "uncharacterized LOC119190043". The record is from RNAcentral. Lineage: Eukaryota; Metazoa; Arthropoda; Insecta; Lepidoptera; Sphingidae.
AAAAAAAAAAUUCUAAAAAAUCGUGCGAUGUUGCCUGUAGAAUGAAGGGACUACUUGGUAAAUAAAUUAUAUCUUCGAAUGAAACGACUCAUAUAAUAGUGAUCGAACUUCACGUACAGCGAAAGCAUCCUACAUCACCCUACCCAAUGGAAGGGUUCUGGUGAUGCUAAACGGCUACACUUUCGCCCAAGCAAACAAAACAAUCUGGUAUUGUUCGAGGAAGCAAAGCACGAAAUGUAAAGCAAAAGUCGUAGUGUACAAUGAUAGUAUUCUAAACUUCGAUAACGAACAUAAUCACGCUCCGCCAGUGUUCACUAGAAGUAAGGCAGGGUUUUAUAUUAAAGUGGCACCGUAGAUUUAUCAUUGUAAAUUGAAUUAUAGUAUUAUAUAAGUUUAGAAUGUACUCAUUACUUUAAUUAAUGCUGUGUAGUCCUUUAAGUUGGUUGUGCAUCGAAUAUGACAAUCGUUAUAUUACUCCUGUGUAAGCUUAAUGUAUAAUUUGCUGGAGAAUAUAAAAUAAAUAAAUAAAUAUGAGUAUUAAAUUUGGGCUUUAUGUCAGGAUUGUACAGUACAAUUUUCAGCGGCAUAGUAGAUUGACUAUGCUGUGGACGAGUUGAACCGAUUUGGUGUCAGAAGGCUUCUUAUUAACCUGAGUCGUCUAUAUAGAAAAGAAUUCGAAUUUUAUAACUUGAUCAGGAAAACAAAAUGCUACCUUUAUGUCACCAAUUUUACUUUUACGGUUUAAAGUUAACGUUUUCAUUAAAAGAACUUAGUUCAAAAUUUUACCACAACGGGGUGAGGUGUUAUAUUUUCCCGGUCAGGCUAUAUAUACAUGAUAUACUAUUAUAAAGUCUGCAUCACUAUGGUCAUACGAAUAGAUUCCAGAGUCAUAGCUGGAGGCUAUAUUCAUUUAUCAUUUGAUUUUAAUUAUUACAACUUGAUUUAUGUAUUUAGAUACUAGUAUUAUAAAUGUAUUAUUAUAUAAUAUAAAAUACAAUCUUGGGAAUAUAAUGUCGAUAGCUUCUAAGAAAACUAUCGUAUCUAAAACAAUAGGGAAAAAAAGGUAAUAAAUGAACAUUUUUUUUUAAUGAGUUUGAUAAUACUUAAGUGGCGAAAUGUGAAAUUUUUCAAACGGGAACCCGACAACAUAUAGAUACUAAUAUUCAUAAAUGCAGUCUGCAAAUCGUUCUAUAUCUGAUACCUCGGCGACGUGCUUAGGCACGAACGAUAUAUGCCGCUACAAUUAAUAAUGAUGGGCAAAGUGGAGAGGAAGACACGCUGGGCGAAGGAAAAAAUAGUGACUGAGAAACAUCCGAAUAGACGAUGUGAGUUUUGUUUCUAUUUUUGGGUUUAAAUUGAGUUUGUAACCUAGUAAUUUUCGUAAAACCAUUAGCCUAGUUAGCAUUUGCUACAAAAACUUGACUGUAUAAAUCACUUAUAUAGAUUGCGGACCAGGAAGUUUGAUUAUCAGGUUAAGUAAUAAAUUGUAUAAUUUUUGAGAAACAACCAGGAGUGGACCGGCAUCACCUCCGUUGAACACCUGUUCCGCUUAGCCAAUGAUAAAGAUAAAUACAAGAAGCUGAUGGCUAACCUUCAACAAUGAAGAGGCACUUGAAGAAAAAGAAAUCGUUCUAACGAUAAUAAGAUUCUAUAUAAAGGGAAGCUAGGAGGAAUCUGGUUAUAAGGAACCUUUCGCCAGUGGUACCUACUUAGAAAAUGAAAGCUAAAAGUUAAAAUCGAUAUUUUUUCAGAUACGACAAUUUUCUUAGGAGUCAUCGAUUUAAAGCAGUAGAAUUACGCUAAGCUUGUAUAAUUAUAGUAACGUACAUGGAAAGACAAGAGAUAUCUCGUAAGAGUUGUGAAAAUAAAGUAUGAAGUUAAUUAACCGACUUCAAAUAAAGGAGAAGGUUAUCGAUUCAACGUGUAUUAUUUUACUAACUCGGAUAUGAAAAGUUUCCGUCACACUGUUAUUCAAAUUUAAUAAAGUUCGGAUUUAGACCAAGCUGCUGGAUCGGUGUAGAAACUGUUAAGUAAUAAACUUGGUGAAUAACCUACCAUCACUAGUGGUUUCUUACGUGUCCGCAACUUUCAAUGCAAUGUAGGUAAUUGAUCGACCAGGCAUCCUAACAGAACCCAUAGCUCUAACGGGUCGAAGAAAUCCAUCGCGGGAUUUUGGUUGGUAAACUCGUGUGGGGCAUAUAUUUGUUAGCGACUCGCUCCAAAGAUCGUCAGAUGUUUACCAUCUAUCGAAAUAUUGGCUCGUAAUACAAUGACCACAAUAUAACCCAGUUGCCAUCAGGGUGCUUAUUCUUUUUGCCUCACGUUAAUUUGAUAGUCCGAUACAAGCACGCAACGCAUCGUGUCGCAUUUAAGAUAAUAUAAAUUGGCAUACAGAAUAUCAUUCUACGGUAAUUUCAUGAUCAACACGACUGCGUUACGAAUUUACAUUGUUAUAUCGAAUAAGGCUGACGGAGUCGGGAUUCGACUCGAGUUUUACGCAGUGUACCUCAUCAGUGUAUAUUAUAUUUGCAUGCAUUCUACCUUUCUUAUUAAAAAAAAAAAAAAAAACUUUUAAAAUCAUAUUGAAAUAAGAAUUAUAUAUUUAUUUGCAGAAACGGCCAAGUACAUCACAUUGAUAAGCGGUUUAAGACUACUGAUGGUGAACCGAUACACAUAUAGGAAAGCUACAAAGAAAAUGUGGUAUUGUUCGCGUAAACAAAUCAUGAAAUGUAAUGCGAAAGUAGAAUUGGAUGGUGACGUCAUUGUGCAUUGCAAAGAAGAUCAUAAUCAUCCUCCGCCUGCUUAUACUAUAAGUAAGGAGGGUUAUUACAUCAAAGUAGAUUGAAGUAUUAGAUAUAAGUGUUUGAAGUGGUUUAUCGUAUCCCUGUAUAAUUUGAUUUACUUUAAAAACUUAUUAAUAAAUUAAAAUUUCAAAUGAAAAUCUUUUUUUAUUUUAAAAUAUAAUUUGGUUUAAGUUUUUUUUUAUUUAAGGCGCCGUGUUGCAAAACCAAAUUGUUAUCAAAGAUUUUCGAUAUAAUGGCCAAUAAUUUACUUAGAAUUUUAUUAUGGUGUCUUGCGAAUGCCAAGUUUCAGAAAAACUCUUAGGAUAAUGAUAAGAAAAAUGACGUAAUUUUAUUCCCAUUUUAUCUUACAGCAUCAGCUAAAUAUAUCACUCUGAUCAACGGUACUGUUCUAUUGAUGCUAGACGGUUAUACAUUCUGGCCAGUGAACAAAAAGUACUGGUAUUGUUCUAAGAAAGGAGGCUCCAAGUGCAAAGCGAGGGUGCACAUGGAUGAUGACGUCAUAGUUUACCACAACAGCGAACAUAACCACGGUCGUGCAAAGUAUAUUAAAAAUAAAGAUGGGUUUUAUAUCAAAGUGAGUUACAAAAAUAAUUGAAUUAAAUGAAUAUAUCGGAGAUAUAAGGCUGUUUUUUGUCUAGACUCGAGACAUUCAGUAGUAAUUAUUUCUUUAAUUUUGUAUCGUCUAAUUUUGAAAACAUUGUUAUUGUUAAUACGUUAAGCACUCUGUAAUGACCAGUUACGUCAUUGACAGUUACGGCUAAAAUAGCGUCCUGGAGUAAAAAUAUACAAAAGACCGCUUAUUUCUCAAUUUUGGCUAAAUGUUUACCGUAAGUAUACGAUAAAAUUACGAUAAAUAUUACGAUGUUUAUGUUACGUCAAUCCUUAUUGAUUUAACUUUAACUGUUAAUAAAUAUUCUUACAGUCUAAUGAAUAGUUAUUUACGCAACGUCAAAUACAACACACCCACCAGGUUACAUGCUUUGCAAUAACAAAUCAAACUAUAAUGUAACAUAUUAUUGCAGAAAAAGCAAAAUAUAUAACCUUGACAAAUGGCAGUGUUCUUUUAAUGUUAGACGGUUAUACUUUCGCGCCGGUCAACAAGAGACACUGGUACUGUUCCAGAAAAAGAACUAUGAAGUGCAAAGCGCGAGCGCACCUGGACAAUGACGUCAUCGUGUUCUGCGAGACACAGCACACUCAUGCUCGGCCGGUUUACGUUAAAAGUAAAGAGGGAUAUUACAUGAAGGUUAAAUAAUAACUUAGGUUGUAAAAUAUGGAUGUUAACUAAGAUGUUUUCAUUACAUAAAUACAUUGUCCGAGCUCAAUACCGGCAAGACGAAAGCAGGGUAAUUGAGCGACUGUCGCGGCUAGUCGGGUACUAACUUUUGUAUUUUUAUAAAUAAAAUGUCUUCCUGUGUUUAAGACGAUGUACAAAUUAUACUCCAACUGUUAAUGACAAAAAUGUUUCAUUUCAUACGUUAGUAAUAAGUAUACGUUAUGUAACUUAUUUUUUAAACAAAUAAAUGCAUUUUAUUCGGCUGUCAUGGCGACGAGGCGGUCGGCGCUCAGGCCGUAUCAAAGCGAGCUGCUAGAGCUGUACAGGUACAUACAUAUGUGUCUAUAGUAAAUAGUGCGCUGUUGUGCAAUUUUGUAACUAUAUGACACGACUAUUUGCAAAACGUCAUUAAAAAUGCAGACUAAACAAAGAAAACAUGAAAUGUCGAACUUAACUGCAUACUCUAAUUAUUAAGUAAUUAUUCUAUGCAUCUAUGUAAUAAAAACAUCUUAGUACAUUUUAAUAUAAAUAUACGAUUUAGAAUAAAGAUGAUAAAAGUAAAUUACAGCUGUUUUUAGUACUACAAAAGCUAGUCAUUAAUUCAAAGAUUUUAUUUAAGUUUUUCUAAAUUCUAUUAAAAAAUUGGAUAAUAGAUGAAGAAUGAAACAUCACAACAAUAAAUGUUAACUUCUUACAGAAAAAGCAGAAUUCAUUACUCUCCUUAACGGAAGCGUUCUUUUGAUGCUAAAGGGAUACACAUAUUUUUCUUCAACAAACAGAAAACACUGGUAUUGUUCGAGGAAAAAGUCUACGAAGUGCAAAGCGAAGGUGCAAAUGGAGGAUGACCUCAUAACGUACUACGACAACGAACAUAACCACGCUCCGCCUGUGUACAUCAGGAGUAAGGAAGGGUUUUAUAUGAAAGUAAAGUAGAUUAAACAAUUGAGGAUGAUUUUAUGUAAAAUUACAUAUCCUUAAACUAGUUUUAUAGACUAUGAUUAAAGAUAUUGAAUACUC